Molecule: ribosomal RNA, 1542 nt
Filed under: Lactiplantibacillus plantarum
Lineage: Bacteria; Bacillati; Bacillota; Bacilli; Lactobacillales; Lactobacillaceae
Description: bacterial SSU rRNA
Rfam family: Bacterial small subunit ribosomal RNA
Source: RNAcentral
UUUUUUUUUUUUUUUUCUCCCCUCCGCAGACGAACGCUGGCGGCGUGCCUAAUACAUGCAAGUCGAACGAACUCUGGUAUUGAUUGGUGCUUGCAUCAUGAUUUACAUUUGAGUGAGUGGCGAACUGGUGAGUAACACGUGGGAAACCUGCCCAGAAGCGGGGGAUAACACCUGGAAACAGAUGCUAAUACCGCAUAACAACUUGGACCGCAUGGUCCGAGUUUGAAAGAUGGCUUCGGCUAUCACUUUUGGAUGGUCCCGCGGCGUAUUAGCUAGAUGGUGGGGUAACGGCUCACCAUGGCAAUGAUACGUAGCCGACCUGAGAGGGUAAUCGGCCACAUUGGGACUGAGACACGGCCCAAACUCCUACGGGAGGCAGCAGUAGGGAAUCUUCCACAAUGGACGAAAGUCUGAUGGAGCAACGCCGCGUGAGUGAAGAAGGGUUUCGGCUCGUAAAACUCUGUUGUUAAAGAAGAACAUAUCUGAGAGUAACUGUUCAGGUAUUGACGGUAUUUAACCAGAAAGCCACGGCUAACUACGUGCCAGCAGCCGCGGUAAUACGUAGGUGGCAAGCGUUGUCCGGAUUUAUUGGGCGUAAAGCGAGCGCAGGCGGUUUUUUAAGUCUGAUGUGAAAGCCUUCGGCUCAACCGAAGAAGUGCAUCGGAAACUGGGAAACUUGAGUGCAGAAGAGGACAGUGGAACUCCAUGUGUAGCGGUGAAAUGCGUAGAUAUAUGGAAGAACACCAGUGGCGAAGGCGGCUGUCUGGUCUGUAACUGACGCUGAGGCUCGAAAGUAUGGGUAGCAAACAGGAUUAGAUACCCUGGUAGUCCAUACCGUAAACGAUGAAUGCUAAGUGUUGGAGGGUUUCCGCCCUUCAGUGCUGCAGCUAACGCAUUAAGCAUUCCGCCUGGGGAGUACGGCCGCAAGGCUGAAACUCAAAGGAAUUGACGGGGGCCCGCACAAGCGGUGGAGCAUGUGGUUUAAUUCGAAGCUACGCGAAGAACCUUACCAGGUCUUGACAUACUAUGCAAAUCUAAGAGAUUAGACGUUCCCUUCGGGGACAUGGAUACAGGUGGUGCAUGGUUGUCGUCAGCUCGUGUCGUGAGAUGUUGGGUUAAGUCCCGCAACGAGCGCAACCCUUAUUAUCAGUUGCCAGCAUUAAGUUGGGCACUCUGGUGAGACUGCCGGUGACAAACCGGAGGAAGGUGGGGAUGACGUCAAAUCAUCAUGCCCCUUAUGACCUGGGCUACACACGUGCUACAAUGGAUGGUACAACGAGUUGCGAACUCGCGAGAGUAAGCUAAUCUCUUAAAGCCAUUCUCAGUUCGGAUUGUAGGCUGCAACUCGCCUACAUGAAGUCGGAAUCGCUAGUAAUCGCGGAUCAGCAUGCCGCGGUGAAUACGUUCCCGGGCCUUGUACACACCGCCCGUCACACCAUGAGAGUUUGUAACACCCAAAGUCGGUGGGGUAACCUUUUAGGAACCAGCCGCCUAAGGUGGGACAGAUGAUUAGGGUGAAGUCGUAAGGGGAAACCCCCCAAA